CUCUAAACACAUUCUCAUUCUCAAAACACAUUCUACACUCUAAUGCACACGUCAUCCAUACUGGUAAACACAAGUAGCAAUGCUCAAAUACAAUUAGAGAAAACAUGUCAUUGAUUGAACACAACCACUCAAAAUUGAUGUCACCUGUUUCAAAUGAUGUGACACAACCAAUAUAAGCCAGUUCAGAGAGCAAACAGGUUGUUGAAGGUAGAAAGGAGAAAGUCUGAGCAUGGAUAGAAGAAACAAUGUGAGAGGACGAGUGCGUAUGCGAGGUGGGCGACGAGGAGGAGGAGGAGGCCGACGACAAGAAAGAGGGCGAGGAAGAGGAGGAGGGCGGCAAGAAAGAGGAAGAGGAGGAGGAAGACAAAGAGUGGAAAUAUCUGAUGAAACUCGAGCAACAGUCAUAGACCAUGUUCUUGUCCAUGGACUGACAAUGAGGGAAGCAGGACUAAGAGUGCAACCCAAUUUGAGCCGAUUUUCUGUGUCCACCAUAGUAAGGACAUUCAGAGAAGAGAACAGAAUUGCGAGGCUGCCACAUGCAGGUGGAAGGACGGCUUUAUUCACUCAAGAGCAAGAGGCCGUUAUACUGGGCAUGGUCCUUCAAGAUAAUGUAAUACGACUCAGAGAAAUCCAGGAACGAGUGAUACAAGACAACACACACUUCCAGGGAAUCAACAGUGUGAGCAUUUCCACAACUGACCGUGUCCUCCAUUGUAACAGGAUGCGAUUGAAACAAGUAUACAAAAGUACCCUUUGAGCGCAACUCACCAAGGGUGAAAGAACUGCGAGCUCAGUAUGUGCAAACAAUAUUUGACUUGGAAUCCUUGGACAGACCCCAUGACUUCAUCUUUGUCGAUGAAGCAGGCUUCAAUCUAACAAAGAGGAGACGGAGAGGCCGAAACAUCAUUGGACAGCGGGCCAUUGUUGAAGUCCCUGG
This is a long non-coding RNA of Paramormyrops kingsleyae, 937 nucleotides long. RefSeq lists it as uncharacterized. The record is from RefSeq and is a predicted model, not a curated record. Lineage: Eukaryota; Metazoa; Chordata; Actinopteri; Osteoglossiformes; Mormyridae.